Molecule: long non-coding RNA, 801 nt
Organism: Cyprinus carpio (common carp)
Lineage: Eukaryota; Metazoa; Chordata; Actinopteri; Cypriniformes; Cyprinidae
Source: RefSeq, a predicted model, not a curated record
UGAACGCGCUUCAUUGCGCGCUCAUGUGUAUCACCUUCACUCGCGCAGCGUGUGCGGAGUCUCAUACCUGUGCGCCAUGUUUGGGCAGUUUGGAUGCAAACAAAACAAUGGAUUAUUUACCAAGAUAUAUGGAUGUAUGAACUCAUUUCGAUAAAACACUUCUGGUCUACUCUAGAGUUUUUACUCUGCAGAAAACUGACGAGCAACCCAACCCACCAACAGACGAGGAAGAUGAGGAUGAUAAUCACAGUGGUCCAGCAUAUACAAAGAGAAAGAUGCUAAAUAUAAAGACUAUACAGAUGCUCAUCUCUGCCAAAACUCACGUGACUACAACACAAACACAGCAUCAUAGUUCAUCACUUUACUUGUAACCAACAGAAGCUGAAGGAAUGGCAGACAUUACUCAGACACCUGUGAACACUGAGCAGUGGUUGGAGUCCAAGACAGUGAAAUCAUCUUUAUUAUACUUCUGACUGAACUAGCAAGUUGCUUUGGGGACAAUGAGAAAAACUCAAAAGAAGAUACUUUGAAGAAUGCUGGUAAUCAAACCCAACAAGUUUGUCAGCUAUGGACAGUAUGAAGGGGACAAAAUGAUUUCCAUAUUUUGGGUGCAGAAAUAAAAGCUCCCAAACAAAGAUGUCACCGGAUUAAGAAGUGAAAAGACAUGUUGCACCACAACAACCAUAAAUCCUGAGUAAUUUGAAUAUGGGCAACAACCGAGGAAAAGUACCCACUGUUUUAGUCAGAAAUGAUUCAUGGUAAUAGUAAUAGUAAAUGAUUAGAUAAAUAAAUAAAAAGUAC